RNAcentral lists this transfer RNA (71 nucleotides) under Calluna vulgaris (heather flower). RNAcentral's name for it is "tRNA-Phe". It matches the Rfam family "tRNA". Rfam says of the family: Transfer RNA (tRNA) molecules are approximately 80 nucleotides in length. Their secondary structure includes four short double-helical elements and three loops (D, anti-codon, and T loops). Lineage: Eukaryota; Viridiplantae; Streptophyta; Magnoliopsida; Ericales; Ericaceae. The record is from RNAcentral.
UCAGGAUAGCUCAGCCUGGUUAGAGCAGAGGACUGAAAAUUCUCGUGUCGCCAGUUCAAAUCUGGUUUCUG